CCUACGGGGGGCAGCAGUGAGGAAUAUUGGUCAAUGGUCGGGAGACUGAACCAGCCAAGCCGCGUGAGGGAGGAAGGUACAGAGUAUCGUAAACCUCUUUUGUCAGGGAACAAAGGCGGGGACGUGUCCCCGGAUGAGUGUACCUGAAGAAAAAGCAUCGGCUAACUCCGUGCCAGCAGCCGCGGUAAUACGGAGGAUGCGAGCGUUAUCCGGAUUUAUUGGGUUUAAAGGGUGCGUA
This 238-nucleotide ribosomal RNA is filed under the name Klebsiella pneumoniae. Its description in RNAcentral is "partial 16S ribosomal RNA". It matches the Rfam family "Bacterial small subunit ribosomal RNA", at positions 338 to 573 of the family's 1533-position model. The record is from RNAcentral. Lineage: Bacteria; Pseudomonadati; Pseudomonadota; Gammaproteobacteria; Enterobacterales; Enterobacteriaceae.